UUUCAAUGCUUGUGUGCAUGUUUUGUGCAGGAGAUGAUGAGUAAAAGUAAAGUUUGUGCGAAUGUGUUCUGUGGAGCUGGGAGAGAAUGUGCAAUGACAGAGAAAGGAGAACCCACCUGCCUGUGCAUAGAGAGUGUGCCUUUGAGGAUGAGAUGUUUGAGGAUGGUGCUGAGACUCAGGUGGAAUGUAACCGCUGCGUUUGUCCUGUGGAAACUGGGUCUGCACUGCUGUAAACUGUGAUGGAUCAAAUAAGUUACCUGCUCUUGAAGAAAUGGAGGGAAAUAUCAGGAGAUGACAGAAGAGGAAUGGAUGCAGCGACUGGCCAAACUCAAUAAACUUCAGG
Molecule: long non-coding RNA, 343 nt
Organism: Xyrauchen texanus (razorback sucker)
Lineage: Eukaryota; Metazoa; Chordata; Actinopteri; Cypriniformes; Catostomidae
Exons: 3
Source: RefSeq, a predicted model, not a curated record